GUCUCCGUUAAUGAUUUUAGGUGCUUGCACUUGAAAGAUUUAACAUUGAGACGAGUGGCGAACUGGUGAGUAACACGUGGGUAACCUGCCCUUGAAGUAGGGGAUAACACUUGGAAACAGGUGCUAAUACCGUAUAACAACCAAAACCACCUGGUUUUGGUUUAAAAGACGGCUUCGGCUGUCACUUUAGGAUGGACCCGCGGCGUAUUAGCUUGUUGGUAAGGUAACGGCUUACCAAGGCGAUGAUACGUAGCCGACCUGAGAGGGUAAUCGGCCACAUUGGGACUGAGACACGGCCCAAACUCCUACGGGAGGCAGCAGUAGGGAAUCUUCCACAAUGGACGAAAGUCUGAUGGAGCAACGCCGCGUGAGUGAUGAAGGGUUUCGGCUCGUAAAACUCUGUUGUUGGAGAAGAACAGGUGUCAGAGUAACUGUUGACAUCUUGACGGUAUCCAACCAGAAAGCCACGGCUAACUACGUGCCAGCAGCCGCGGUAAUACGUAGGUGGCAAGCGUUGUCCGGAUUUAUUGGGCGUAAAGCGAGCGCAGGCGGUUUUUUAGGUCUGAUGUGAAAGCCUUCGGCUUAACCGGAGAAGUGCAUCGGAAACCGGGAGACUUGAGUGCAGAAGAGGACAGUGGAACUCCAUGUGUAGCGGUGAAAUGCGUAGAUAUAUGGAAGAACACCAGUGGCGAAGGCGGCUGUCUGGUCUGUAACUGACGCUGAGGCUCG
Molecule: ribosomal RNA, 729 nt
Filed under: Lentilactobacillus buchneri
Lineage: Bacteria; Bacillati; Bacillota; Bacilli; Lactobacillales; Lactobacillaceae
Description: bacterial SSU rRNA
Rfam family: Bacterial small subunit ribosomal RNA
Source: RNAcentral